Molecule: unclassified non-coding RNA, 226 nt
Filed under: plant metagenome
Description: partial contains small subunit ribosomal RNA and internal transcribed spacer 1
Rfam family: Eukaryotic small subunit ribosomal RNA (bases 1-46)
Source: RNAcentral
AAGUCGUAACAAGGUUUCCGUAGGUGAACCUGCGGAAGGAUCAUUACUGAGUUAGGGUCCUCUGGGCCCGAACCUCCAACCCUAUGUUUAACUACUUUGUUGCUUUGGCAGGCCCGCCUUUCGGGGCCGCCGGAGGGGUUAAGUCACCUCUGGUCAGUGCUUGUCAGUAGCCAAUCUAAAUUCUUUAUAAUUAUGAAGUCUGAAUCUUUAAUUAAAAUUUAUUAAA